This 233-nucleotide unclassified non-coding RNA is filed under the name plant metagenome. RNAcentral describes it as "partial contains small subunit ribosomal RNA, internal transcribed spacer 1, and 5.8S ribosomal RNA". The record is from RNAcentral.
UUUCCGUAGGUGAACCUGCGGAAGGAUCAUUAUUGGAUCGUGAAACUUCAGGCUGCUGCUGGCUCUCCUCGGAGGGCAUGUGCACGCUUGUUGUCCAUUAUUUCUCCCACUGUGCACAAAUUGUAGACCUUUCAGUAGGCCUAUGUUGUUCUUCACAAUCUCUGAAUGUAAUAGAAUGGUUUUGAAUCUUGGGAAAUACAAUACAACUUUCAGCAACGGAUCUCUUGGCUCUC